GACGAACGCUGGCGGCGUGCUUAACACAUGCAAGUCGAACGGAAAGGCCCUGCUUUUGUGGGGUGCUCGAGUGGCGAACGGGUGAGUAACACGUGAGUAACCUGCCCUUGACUUUGGGAUAACUUCAGGAAACUGGGGCUAAUACCGGAUAGGAGCUCCUGCUGCAUGGUGGGGGUUGGAAAGUUUCGGCGGUUGGGGAUGGACUCGCGGCUUAUCCGCUUGUUGGUGGGGUAGUGGCUUACCAAGGCUUUGACGGGUAGCCGGCCUGAGAGGGUGACCGGCCACAUUGGGACUGAGAGACGGCCCAGACUCCUACGGGAGGCAGCAGUGGGGAAUAUGGCACAAUGGGCGGAAGCCUGAUGCAGCAACGCCGCGUGCGGGAUGACGGCCUUCGGGUUGUAAACCGCUUUCGCCUGUGACGAAGCGUGAGUGACGGUAAUGGGUAAAGAAGCACCGGCUAACUACGUG
Molecule: ribosomal RNA, 468 nt
Filed under: uncultured bacterium
Lineage: Bacteria
Description: partial 16S ribosomal RNA
Rfam family: Bacterial small subunit ribosomal RNA
Source: RNAcentral